This 230-nucleotide ribosomal RNA is filed under the name uncultured bacterium. RNAcentral's name for it is "partial 16S ribosomal RNA". It matches the Rfam family "Bacterial small subunit ribosomal RNA", at positions 568 to 797 of the family's 1533-position model. The record is from RNAcentral.
UACGUAGGCGGAAAAUUAAGUCAGUAGUGAAAUCCCAUAGCUUAACUGUGGAACUGUUAUUGAUACUGGUUUUCUUGAAUUUAGUUGAGGUAGGCGGAAUGUGUAAUGUAGCGGUGAAAUGCUUAGAUAUUACACAGAACACCGAUUGCGAAGGCAGCUUACUAAGCUAUGAUUGACGCUGAGGUACGAAAGCGUGGGGAGCGAACAGGAUUAGAUACCCUGGUAGUCCC